This 270-nucleotide ribosomal RNA is filed under the name uncultured bacterium. RNAcentral's name for it is "partial 16S ribosomal RNA". It matches the Rfam family "Bacterial small subunit ribosomal RNA", at positions 84 to 354 of the family's 1533-position model. The record is from RNAcentral.
CCGGCAUCUUAGUGGCGGACGGGUGAGUAACGCGUGGGUAACCUGCCUUAUACAGGGGGAUAACACUUAGAAAUAGGUGCUAAUACCGCAUAAGCGCACGGGGCUGCAUGGCCCAGUGUGAAAAACUCCGGUGGUAUAAGAUGGACCCGCGUCUGAUUAGCUUGUUGGCGGGGUAACGGCCCACCAAGGCGACGAUCAGUAGCCGGCCUGAGAGGGUGGACGGCCACAUUGGGACUGAGACACGGCCCAAACUCCUACGGGAGGCAGCAG